Molecule: ribosomal RNA, 492 nt
Filed under: uncultured bacterium
Lineage: Bacteria
Description: partial 16S ribosomal RNA
Rfam family: Bacterial small subunit ribosomal RNA
Source: RNAcentral
AGUGAACGCUGGCGGUAGGCCUAACACAUGCAAGUCGAACGGCAGCACAGUAAGAGCUUGCUCUUACGGGUGGCGAGUGGCGGACGGGUGAGGAAUACAUCGAAACCUAUUUUUUGGUGGGGGUCAACGUAGGGAAACUUACGUUAAUACGCCUUAGGACUUACGGUUCAAGCAGGGGAUUCUUCGAACUUUGCCGGAUUGAAUAGCCCAUUUUCGGAUUAGCUAGUUGGCGGGGUAAAGGCCCACCAAGGCGACGAUCCGUAGCUGGUCUGAGAGGAUGAUCAGCCACACUGGAACUGAGACACGGUCCAGACUCCUACGGGAGGCAGCAGUGGGGAAUAUUGGACAAUGGGCGCAAGCCUGAUCCAGCCAUACCGCGUGGGUGAAGAAGGCCUUCGGGUUGUAAAGCCCUUUUGUUGGGAAAGAAAAGCAGCAGGUUAAUACCCCGCUGUUCUGACGGUACCCAAAGAAUAAGCACCGGCUAACUUCGUG